GGGGACGGAGAAGGCUAUGUCAGCCGGGCGACGGUUGUCCCGGUUUAAGCAUGUAGGCGGAGGUUCCAGGUAAAUCCGGUACCUUUUAACGCUGAGGUGUGAUGACGAGGCACUACGGUGCUGAAGUGAUAAAUGCCCUGCUUCCAGGAAAAGCCUCUAAGCAUCAGGUAACACGAAAUCGUACCCCAAACCGACACAGGUGGUCAGGUAGAGAAUACCAAGGCGCUUGAGAGAACUCGGGUGAAGGAACUAGGCAAAAUGGUGCCGUAACUUCGGGAGAAGGCACGCUGAUGUGUAGGUGAAGCCCCUGCGGGUGGAGCUGAAAUCAGUCGAAGAUACCAGCUGGCUGCAACUGUUUAUUAAAAACACAGCACUGUGCAAACACGAAAGUGGACGUAUA
Molecule: ribosomal RNA, 400 nt
Filed under: Enterobacter hormaechei
Lineage: Bacteria; Pseudomonadati; Pseudomonadota; Gammaproteobacteria; Enterobacterales; Enterobacteriaceae
Description: partial 23S ribosomal RNA
Rfam family: Bacterial large subunit ribosomal RNA
Source: RNAcentral